RNA transcript from Cygnus olor (mute swan), 4366 nucleotides. It is a transcript of the gene named small integral membrane protein 5, with no coding region annotated. NCBI's taxonomy places the organism in Eukaryota, Metazoa, Chordata, Aves, Anseriformes, Anatidae. The transcript is spliced from 6 exons. The record is from RefSeq and is a predicted model, not a curated record.
AGAUCUGACUAACAAACACAGUUUGCUUGUGAACUUGUGUGCAUGCAUCUGGGGGAACAUAACUGCGUGUCUACCAGAGCAUCGCAAACAAACCCUGUAAGGGUCUGCAGGGGCUGCCGGCUCACUCAUUCCCAUGACCCGGUGAAUUUUACGCACCAGAGCAAGCAAAGCAGCAGGUUACAGACUGCUGCCGCCGGAGCGGUGAAACGCGUGUGCUGAAGUGCGAAGGACCUGGCGCUGCUCAGGAAAGCACUGAACUGUGCCCCCCUUGGAUGCCUGCACCAUGCCUCCUUUUUGUACUUCUCUAUGUUGGGUAAAACAGUAGCACUGUUCCUGCAAUUAGUAGAAACAGAUCAACUGUCAGAGAAGAAGCAAAGUCACAUAUCUGAAAAGAAGCUUUGUCUCUGCCAAAAUACACCAAGAAGAAAGCACUCCCUCAUGGGAUCCAAAGAAGGGUACACAGCCUCAUCGGAAGAGCUCCCCCAAAAUACAGCAAGUUUGGGAAUAAAGCCUUGAAAUGAGAGCAGUAUUAAGAAGACAAAAAUUAUAUAAAGACAAUUUUUUUAUGUAGAUGUCGGUUGCUGAACAAAAGCCAUUUAAUGAGCUCUAUCAAAUAGAAGGGCAAAUUAUGUGGUUGAUGAUGCAUUAUCAUUUUGCACCUGUCUGAAGGACGGCAUAGCUGUAGAGCAGCUGAACUUCAGCAGCCCUCUGGGACACGACAGCGGGUGGCAGCUGUCCCCAGCACACGAGAAGCAAAAAAACAAGGCUUCGAGAGAGUAAAUGACUCUUCCGGGGACAUGAAACAAAUUCACCUCCAGCAUCACCCCUGUGCCAGCAGCAGACCGCGCUGCGCUGUCGCUGCAAUUUCUUGCUCUGCCCCUUCAAAGCACACCCGAGAAAGCUCCUUCCCCCGGGAGUCGGAAGGAAACCGGGCAGCAUAAAGAAGAGUUAAUUGCUUUAACACACACCCAAACUAUUGCAAGGCGAGAAUCAAACGAAAAGAAAAAAAGAAAAGACCUUGCUAGGAGGAGAUGCGCAGCGGAAGCCAGCAACAAGUGGGAGGCUGCAGCAGCGGCUGCCCCGCGGUGCGCUGCCGGCCGGCCGCCCUCCUGCGCUGGCACCCCUGUAACACGAAACUUGGCAUCGCCCCGACAGCAGCACCAAAAAAAUAGGCAGAGACAACAGCUGGCUGUCAGCAGCAGAGCAGAGAGGAGCCGAGCGAGGAGCGAGACACGAGCCAGGAUGAGGGGAGAGAUGACGUGAAAGUUGAAGAAGAGAGGAGGAAAAACAAGAGGAGAAGAAGAGCUCGUGGCACGGCUGGGAGCCAAGAGCAGAAAACACAAAUCACAACACCUCUGCCUGCACCGCCAUCUCUUGGAAUGGAAACAGCACUGGAAACCUGCUGACAGAAUCUCACAGCACUGUGCAAAGGAAAAGGAGCCAUUUCUGGAGCAGCUCAUUUGGGCGUAAAGCCUGGAGAGGUUGAGCCAGAAUGUCUUCUGAAGGCUUUCUGAAGGAAAUGCAAACCAUUGGUGAGAAGUUUCUCCUUAAGCUUCAGAAACUGCCCAAGGCUGACCCUGUGGAGAUCGUGUCCUUCUGUGUGGUUCUUCUGUUUAUCGUUACUGUUCUGCUGCUCAUGAUCAUUGCUUGCAGCUGCUGCUGCUACAGCUGCUGUAGCUGCGAUGGACGUCCUGACCACAGACGUAGGAAGAUCCAAGUCCGCCCUACUGCCCAUCCAUGAAGCGCAUCAAGAGGUGACAACCUACUAUCAAGGACAUGCGUGGCCAUCAUGAUUCAGUCCCACGGGAAUGACUCUCUGCUCUAGCUCACUGAGAAUGGCAAUAACAAUAUUAACGAGUAUGACUCAGAGGACCAGAAAUCACGGCAUGGAAUUCAUUCUUUCUGUGACAGCCACUGCUGGGCUCCAUGGUGUGACCAGAAAGCAGGGCAGAAGCCAGCAUGUCAUCUGCACAAGAGACAUCCUCAGUUCUGGAAGACCUAAAAAGACUGAUUGUAACAAGUGACUGGGCUCUUGGAGGGCUAGUGGUGAUUAGCACCUUCUGUCUUGUUUUUAUUGCUCUCCUCCUAUUUGCUGCCAUCUUUGGGUGCUGCUCAUCUCCAAGGCACAAGCGGAGGGGUACAUAAACAGUGAAGCUGUGACACAGUAUGGGGAGAUCCACAGUUAAGCAAGAAUCAGCCCAGCUGCAAUCUAAUUGUGUUGUUCGUUGAAGCUUUUUCAUCUUCUGUCCCUGGGUGGUUAUUUCUCCCCAUCCAGCUUUCCCGCAUCGAGAGCAAUAUAUGAAUGCCAGCAAGUUGUUCUGCCAGUCCACAGCAAACUCUGUACGUAAGGCAAUCUGUGUUCAGGAACUGAAUGAUGAUGCUGGUAUUUGGCUAGUCGUGUCUCUGCCUGACUUUCAUCUUUCAAACAAAACCACAGACAGGACAGAGUUGGCAAAUGGUCAACCACCACCUAAAACUGAUAAAGAUGUCUUGUACCACUGCAGUUACUUUUUUUGUUUGGCUGGUUUUGGUUUUCUCCAUCUUGCAAAUGGACAUCAGGAAACUCUGACCAGCAAAAGCUUUGUCUGAAUCCAUUCUCUAAAAAGCAGCUUAUGUAAUUGUUCUCCUGUCAUGCUCAGACAGUAGCCUAAAUAUACUAUGCAAAAACUUGCUUAUCAGAAUACAAGUCUGUCUGUAUUUGUUCUCAUUUAGAACCUUGUAAGGUCAGAAAUUCAGGUUUAUCUUUACUGGUUGAAUAGUGAAUAGAACUGUAUUAAUUCAAAAUGUAAAAAAGAAAUGCAAUGUGGUAUUCUUCUGAAGAGCACCUUAGUCUCCUGCACAGUUACAAGCAGGGAAGCCAGUCAAUGGCGCUGCAAUGUGCGACCUUGGGUUGCAUAUCUUAUGUGUGUAUGUACUAAGCUGGGGAAGGAAAGAAAAAAGAAGGGAAGGGAGAUGUGAUUUCUAAUUAGGUCAGUGAGCUUCCCUUACAAAUCUCUUAUGUAGCCAGUGAAGUUCUAUUUCUAUUGCUAUUCACCUAAGCAAAGGAGAAUGUUUUCUCUCGAUUGCUUGGGUAUUGCCUUACUACUGCAGCAGAACUCUUAAGAGAAGUUCCUCACAUAAAUAGCAGUCAAGUUCUUUACAGCAUACAUGAAGUGGGCGAUGCUGUAAUAUGGUGACAUGGAUCACACAUCACGCCCUGACUAGAAGACCACCCUGGAAUGUUCUGCAAUUGCUUUUGGCUUGUGCAAGGUUAGUUCAGUGAGCCCUGUACAGUUGUCAUGGCAUUGAUGGCCAUUCCAAGAAACCACUGUCACAACUAGUUCUACUACCAACUGUAGGAGAAUCAAGGAGAAACACAGACUGAGACAAGGUCUCCUGAGGUUAGCCUCUGACCAAAUAAGAUACAGCUGCUUUCGCAUGAUAUAAAAUCUGGACACAAGCAGCCAUCUGACUUAAAGCAAGAAGCUACUUCCCAGAAUCAUCCUAGCUCUGGGCAGAGAAGUGCUCCUUCACGUGCCCUGGGACCACUCAGCAUUGUGCCGUACUUCAGUACACACAGAGAUCUUCCAAGGCAAAUCCAUAAAAACACAGUUUGUUUACCAAACAUUACCACAAGGAGAAAAUAUGCUCACCGAAGUAUCAGAAAAGAAGCAUGCCAGUCACCCUGAAAAACUUGUCCUAGGCACAGGUGUGAAGAAUGAAACAAAAUACAACUUGAAAGCAAUACACAUGUUGACUACUUUUGGUUAGUGAAUACAUACUGCUCUCUUACUGGCAAAAUUACAACUUUGAUGUUUUAUCCAGCAUAGUAAUUAGCACAAUUACAGCUUACAAGUCAUGAACUAGACCUGAACGACGUAUAUUGUGGUUGCUAGUCUGCAUUUAGAUUGGGCACAUCCAUAAUUUGGGCUUUUUUUCUGAAAGGUUCCAAGCACAUAAGAUCCUUCUAAGGCCAAUGAGAAUCAAGGAUGCCUACUUCUUUGCAGACUGGAGCCCCUGAGAUUUAGAGAAACAUUAAAGCUAAAUAGUUCCAUCCUGUGAUGAUUAGGCUGCCCAGAGAGAUGGCCGGUGAAGGAGGAAAGAGUCAAAACAAAAGCAACUGAAACUAAGUCAGCUCUCCACAGAUAAAACAUUAAAAUUCAUAGCGAGAGGAAUCACAGUUCAACAUCAACCAACAUCUCAGUUAACUCAGAAGUGAAAGUGAGUGACAGGUGUCUUCUCAGGGACACCUUCCUCAGUCCAGACAGCAAAAUAUCAGGUGAUUCAUUCAGUAUUUUCUUUUUCCGUUACAUGCAUUUGCGGAAAGAUCUCAGCUAUGUAACUGUACCUCAGAAGGGGUAGGAUAUGGUUUUCCCAACAUUAAACA